UUAUGAGUCGCUUAACUAAAGCUCGAACGAUGUCCCUUCUGGUUUGCCCGAGAUUCCUGUAAUAAUGCUUGAUCCAUAGUAACGUAAGUAGAAAUGGGGAGGUCGAAGCUAGCGGUCAAGCUGCUCCAUUAGACCCGAAGCUUUCUUCUUAUCCCUUUUGUCUUCUUACGUAGGAUGAUUUCAUCCGAGUGUGUGUAAGGCGGGUGGCAUUCUUUGCCAUAAGCUCUAAGCAACCACCUACUUGUAAUAUGGUAUCCUUUCUCUCUUCCUGGGACUUGAGGGGAGGUUAGUACCGCGAAUAAAGUAGUACUCGCUACCCAGCCAGCCAUCUACUUGACAAGAAAGAAUCUCUCGGAAAAGAGAGCGCAAUCUCUCUUUGCUUGUGCCACCUGGGCGGAAGAUAUAUCUGAGUUGAGCUCGUCGAAGAAGAAACUGCUACUGACAUCCAGGGAUGAGGGCUCAGAUCAGAGUGAACAAACAGUGCGAAAGAGACUGAGAAGGGGAAGCAUGCGCCCGAAAGGGGUGCCAUUGCUCCAUGUAUAAUAUAACUCGGGAUGUUUCACUAUAUUAUAUCCCCAUUGCUAAACGCAAUAGGAAGGGAAAGAAACGUUUCUCCUUCUACACAUUUAUGAAAAUAAAUGGCUUCCCGUCGCUCACAGCAGCUUCUCUAGUUUAAUUAUCGCCAAAAACAAAGGAAAUCGACUUAGUCGCUCGCUUGUACCUCCAUUUCCAAUGGCUAAUUUACGCAUGUUGUACUUCUCCAUAGUUUGCUCGAAUCGAACUUGUCCGUACCGACAUAAUCAGUAUCUCCCGGACUACCAAGGCAAAAAAACCCAUUAAACUAGUGACUUGAAUCAUACUUCCUUCCUCUUUGAUUGAGGAAACCUAACUACAGGAACUGCUUAAGUCAAGAACAAACAGAUGGAGUAUUUCUUCCUUUCGAACUAUAAAAAGUUAGGCUACAGCAAGCGCAAGUCAUCCCCUUGCGAAGUGCAAAACAAGGGAAAUCUGACUUCAUAAAAACAAGUUGAACUAUCGUUCCCUUCAUUGACCUACUAACUCGUGAUACAACGCGCGUUUCUUCCUCAGAAUCUCAUUUCAAAAGGCAUGAACCAUCCCCUAACUUGGAAGGGGACAGGAACAGAAGACAAGUGUUAAGCAAGCCUUGUUUCCUACUUGCUGACCCUAGAACAACAAGAGGCAACAGGCUUGCUUAACACUCGAACAAGAGGAAAUCGCUUCGUCUUUUUGCCCUUGGCGCGCCUUCUACUUCUGUCGGCACAACUACGUAUUUAUUAGAAUAGUACUUUGCUCGGUCCUGCUUUGGACCUAUGAUCCACGGGUGAUUAAUCAGCAUCUACAGCUUUCGCUUUGGGUCGGGAAUUUGGAGAGAUUGGCUCUAUAGAAAGGGAAGCGAGUCUUUGAACUAUGUUAGCGCCGAGGGUUCACUAAACCUACUAUCCUUCUGAAUUUCGUGUUUCGUAACUCAUUAGAUUCCUAGAUUUUUAGCGGGGGCUUUGUAAGAGAAAUAGUUAGAUCUGUAACAAUCAAAAUAAGUCGGGGUUCAGUUCAUUAGAGCAAGGAGAAAGUUCACUAGAUAGACAGGUUGGACAAUGAGGGCUUUUACUCUCCCUAUCUCGAGUAGGAUCAUUGAAAAGAAAGAAAAGGAAUGGUUUCUUCAACUGGCUUGUGCCAUAGCUCAUAGCUCGAAUCAGGAUUGGAAAAAUGGAAGGAAAGUAAGGCUCUAGAGCCUCUGAUGAGGAAGACCUCGGAUCUUUCAGAAGGAAUAGGCCUACCUGCUUUAGCUUUUAUGGUUCACCGCGGUCUUCUUCUUCCUAGCCCAAGGCGGUUUCUCUCUCAAACUAAGUCAAAUCCGUAAAAUUGUAAUGAAGAGGAAAGCAGCGGCUUUGACUCUCUCACCUAACAGGUCGGUAUUCAUGUCCACCAGAAUUGUCUACUGAUUGGCUGUAGUUUACUUCCCGAUCAGAAGGAUCCGAAUCCUGUUUAAUAAAGACCCAUUGCCACCUAGGUAUCCUUUAUCUUCUCUCGUUCCUCUUUGGACAAAGGUUUCAAACCACCAACUCUUUAGAAAUCUCUGAGGAGUAUGCAUCUGGGUAAAGCAAUGAAUAGGAUGUAGAUGAAGCCCGGUAUGACUCAACGUUUUCACUUUUUGCAAGGUCUGAUGAUCAACGAGCUAAAAAAAGGGGGGUAUGCGCGCGGGUACCGGUGCAGUUAAUAAUUGAGGUCAGUCGACCAGGAUCUUAUGACUCUUGUCCCUUUCAAACUUAAUAGAUUAGAGGAUUCUAGCGAUCCAGGCGAGUAAAAUGAAGCAGACGUGGCAGCCGCAGGCAAUGAUCCAAUACCUUUCGUUCUCUUUAGCACUCAUUUCUAAUUCCUUUAGCUUGGAUCUUUUGAAUCUGGAUAGUUAUGAGUACAAAACUCAAUAAUCUAUCCUAGGAUCCCGUGAGGAAGAAGCAAAAGCAGCUGUGGACGAUGCUGGAGGCAAGCCUGCAAUGUGGGAUUAUGAAGCCUACUUAGUUCAGAACUUUUGUGAUGAUGAGCAAUCACAUGCAUACGCAGAAGCUAAAAUCUUAGGUGGUGUGACCAGAUCAAAUAAGUUUUGCUGCUUAAUGCUCAUUUUAUUUUGUUUUGGCAAAAGAAAGACAUGCUGAUGCAAAUGAUCGAGCGAAGGAUUACGUACAAAGAUUUCUCCUUGCUUUUCGGUGGUUGCUGAAUCCUACUGGGUAGGGUAGACCAAGAUGUUUGACUCGAGGACUCUUCCUACUAUUCCAGAUUCCAUUUCAAUGGUAGCUUCUUGGUAGACUUACUUUCUAUGGUACACAAUCCAGUCAAUAAACCUGGCUCAUAGGACUUUACAAGUGAUCGUGCAUCUGCCACUCUUAUGCCUUCUUUUCCUCGUCCCGAUUUGAACUAUGUUAAUAAUUUUGCUAGAUCGGACCAUAAAAUGGAAUUGAGCAGGCAUCCCUUGGUCCAAUAGAUAUUUCCUUAUGUAUGAUAGAACUUAGGUGCACCCCAACUUGGGGCUAGCGAGCAUGUCUGUCAUCUUCCUAGUAAGCACGUCCUAGGUGCAUUAACGGCUGAACAAUCUCACUAUUCGAUGAACUAGGGUGGGCCAGGGAACUCGUAGCUUAUGCACGCGCACGAGGCAUGAAAAAGGAGGAAAGUCAUUACAUAGGAAAGGAGCACACGCCAUAGAUGAAUUAUCAUGUUAUGCCUGGUAAAGAAGCACACUGACUUCAGAAGAAAGAAAAGAAGUCAUCCCAGUCAUCUACUAUUUUCUGCCACUCAAAUCCUGAUGGAUUGAAGAGGAAUGGAGCGAAUAGCCAAGUGAUAACCAAGAACCCUGAAAGGGCGCGGGAAGAGCCCAAGGUUAUCCCAAUUCCUAUGAUCCUCGUAAAAAGAGAGGAUGGAUUGAGAUACCCCUUUGCUAACUCCAUAGUUAGGAGAGGUGCGUCUGCGGUGAGCAUAAGAAGAUUGCCCUGAUAAUGGAAUUCCGGAUCCGCUGUGGUGAGUGAUUUUCUUAGGACUGUCAAAAGAGCUCAAGUUUGGCUGAUAGAGAACUCCACCAAACGUGAUACCCUCCCCAAUGGGGGAUUGACCCGAGUAUUUAGUCAUAUUCUUCUUAGGAGGCUCCCUUGAGCUUGUGAAUCUAUUCAAACAUGAUCGCCAUAAUGACUACUGAUAUACCGAGCUCUAAUUGAGUUGAUUUAGCAAUAGAAAAACUACUACUUUAGCAGCUAUGCGAAAUGGAAGUUUCCUUCUUCUUGCUUGUUUGGCCGUCCGAAAGCAGAUACAGAUAUCGGGGAGAAAGCAGCUCUCUGAGCGAUGGAUACCGAUCAAUCUCGGUUAUUUUCAUUGAUCCUGGCCUAUCUCCAUAGCGUUCACCCAGAGGGAAUUCACUCAGCUCUGGGCCGCAUCCAUCUGGUUGGCAUGAGAAAGAAGGCAAUUCCUUCCUUGGGUCAGAUCUCCGUUCCGGGAUGGAAGAAAGAAAUGAUGGUUUGGAUGAGCAAUUGGGAAACACACACGGGGUCAUGGAUGGCUACCUAAUGUGAGAUGCAUGCAUUUCGGAUAGAAUGUCACACUGGCUCUGGAGUGCCCGGGGGUGAUAGAUAUAUGGAUAUAUAGAAGGAAGGGAACAUCGUCUGCGAGCUCUCUCUCCUAAUCCACUUUCUUAUUGCAAAGGCUCCAACAGAGCAAAGUUGUACAAAAAUAAGUAUGCAUAUGGUCGGUCCCCUUCGAAAGGCAAUGGAAAGCAAGGGUCCCGCUAGCAUUGAGGAAGGAAGCGAUGAGACCAGUUCAGCCAUAACCUUGAAUGAAUUUAUAUAAGCCAUGAUCUUGUACCGGGUACGGAGACUCUCUAGUGAUGCUCCCCUACCCCCCUCUGCCUAGGGUAAUAAGCUGGAGUGAUAAGCUUAAGCUAAUAGCACAUAGAGAGCUAAUACCAUAUCCCGCCCGGCUCCGCCUUUAGCUGACCCAGCCCGGACUUCCCCUUCAAGCAUUCAAGAAUAAGCAUGGGAGUCAAAUAGAGAUGGCACUUGGAAACUACCAUUGGUAUUUCAGGUUUCACAUUGUACAGAAUGAAAUCAUCGAUAGGGCUCGCCCCGAAGAGAGGAUGCCGCGCUUAAUAGAAGAUUGUUUAGUUUAGGCAUUUAGCUUAGCUUAAAAUAGAUAUGUAACAUGAUGUACUUACACGUGCAACCACUCCGUCUUCUAGACCGGGGUCAUAAUUGAACCCACAACAAACCUCAGAUGAUGUGACUUCUCCACCCUCUAGGCAAUUAAAAACUGGCCCCAUUAGCUCGAAUUUACUAAUGUUAGAAAGGAAGAUGAAGGUGCCAAAACAAAGCAUUUGUUUCAAGCGCUGUCGUGUCCUUGAGCUUCAAAGUCUCCAAAAUCUUGAUCGAGAAGAGUAAGCAUUGCCUGGUGAGGAAGAGCGGAAGCAUAGGUUUUUGGAUCCUAGUGAAGGAGUUUCAAGCACGGAUUACGCUUCUAAAGAGCACUAUUUGGCUUGGCCCCUUCCUGCCAAAGAUUUGAGAUAACUAAAGCGACUCGCAGUCAAAACUGGUGGAGCCAACGCCAAAGAGGAAAUGUGUAGAUAGUAGGUGAGCGCCUAGCCCCUUAGUCUUUCAGAUCGGAAGAUUCAUUGGUUUCAUCCAAAGGCUUCUGUCUCGUCUUCCUCAAAUUGUUGAUCGAGGAUCAAAGACAUUGCUAAAGCAGACGCCUACCGAACGGGAGUUCUUGUACCUGCUAGAACGGCAUCUGCUCGAACUUUUGUUUCUUAGAAAAUAAAAUAUGAACUCACAAUGUGCAACAGAAAUGUACCCACCGGUUGAGAAACCACCAUAGUUGGAUGAUUGCUCGCGCUAGUAAGACAACUUUGACUCUUCUUGAUCGUGAUCUGGUGAUCGGUCACACCCUCUUUAGAGGUUCUAGGCCCUGCCUAUUGAGUCAUCUACCACAGAAACAGAGUCUCGUGAUGAUCCUGGUACAAAAGGUUCGUCAGGCCCGCAUUCAGAGACUUCUGCCUCAGACUCAUAUCCAUAAAGAUAUUCUCUCGCUUUCUAGCUGUACCCUUCUUCACACCCACCAUGGAGGUUAGAGAUUUCCCGUUAUCAACAUUGUCCAGGCAGGACUCUAUUUUUAGAAUGCUCGGAGCCAACCAAACAGUUUGCUACAUCCCUCGAGAAAAUCAAAACUUCAUUGGAAAUUCAGGACCAACUUAGGAAGGCACGGACUCAUACUUUGUAAGGUCGAAGUCCACACAUAAGAAAAUAACUAGUGCCUAGGAAUACCCCCUUCUUCAUUCAUCCAUUUAGGUAAGAAUGGAUCCAGGGAACCUGGCUCGGGAACAGCCCUGAAAAAACACGGUAAGAGAGUCCAAUCUCUGAAAUAUAGCAUUUGAUCUCCUAAGUAGUAGUAGUAGAAGGCUUAGUAUCUGACUUGAUCCAAUAGAGUCAGAACACACAGUAGAUCCAGAUUCCACACCUUGCUGUGGACUGGGGAGAGAGCAGCUCUUCGAAGCUGGGCGUUCUGUGUGAUUAUGGAGGAACUGUAGUACUCGCCCCAAAAUGCAAGCCGGGAUAGAUACUUAAAGAAAGGGGGAGCGGUGGGCCUUCAAAAAGGAGCGAGGGAGUGAUGGGCAACCUUUUUCUAUAUGUUGCUCGUGAGCCGCCAAGUACCAGUCUCGCAACAGUACUGGCGUUAAAGGAUCGGUCCUUCACUUGCGGAUCGUUCGCGAGUCGAACUCGCUCUCUUGCCACGCCUUUGACUCACGAACUCGAGUCGGACUCAUUCACUGCUGACUUUUUUGAGGAUCGUUCAUUCUUCACUCUCUUGCUAUUACCCGCAGGGAGCGCUGCAACCGACGGUGCAUAUUAUCAUAUAGAAAGAAGCGAAGCGUAGCGAUUGGUACUACCGGAAAAGUGUCGCUAACCGCUAGGCAAUAGAGUCAGCUUACGGGGUGGGGCGCAAGCAAGCGUAGCGAAUCACAUAGAGUUGCCCCUACCUGCCAGCGCGCAGAUAGAUAGGGCGGGCGAGCGCAGGGAUGGAUGUCUGAGCGGUUGAAAGAGUCGGUCUUGAAAACCGAAGUAUUGAUAGGAAUACCGGGGGUUCGAAUCCCUCUCCAUCCGCGAGGUCAUAAGUUCUCUCUUGCCUUAUCUAUAGAUAAGAACGAAUCUCCUCGACUCGACUGAUAUGAUGGAUGGAAUGGGUAGAAGGUUGAGGUUAUUGUGUGUUGAUUUAGUUAGGACUUUGUCUCCCUUCCGUUAUCUUCCGCCCUGGGUGGAUGACCUAUGGGAGCUAAGUCGAAGAUCUCGGUGUCGUCAUGAGUGGUUGAUAAACAACGAUUGCAGUUUGAUUUAGGGAGUCCCAACCCUGUGAAGCUUAAUAGACAAAGAAAACAAUAGAGACUUCCGGGUAUAGGGUGACGACCUUAAUGAAUCAAGUAUUCAGGUGACAGAGUUUUGAGCUACAUAAGCGCUCAAAUUCCGGAAUACUUAUUGCCCCAAAAAUAUGAUCAACCCCAGGUACAUUUAUUAGGUUUUGAUCUGAGGCUAUCCUGGUCUGCAGGACCCAACACAAGUAUUCAUCCUUUCCAAUCUGAAAAAGGUGUUGCCGAAAGCUUACCCUCUUCCACACGGAUGCUACAGCCGCUAUCACUUUUGCAGGAGGGGAAUUACAAAGUUCGCCUCUCGACAUCUUGUUUGGUAAGCGGAAUUUUGACCCAGGCGCCCUAGUGUUGCCUAACCGUUCGGCCGGAGAUGUCGGAUGCGAGAUCUUUAGCUACUUGUAUCAAUUUGCCGCAGUGUGCUUAGAUACAAUGGGCUGGCAGCUGAGGCUUGGCAGGAUGGGGGAGUUAAUUAAGGUCGAGGGAGCAGGAAAGAGUUUGUUAUUCGCUAUUGGCUUAGUACGGCCUAUACAUAAUAGGGCCAUGACGGUUUUGGCAAGGCCUUGAACUUCAUAUAUCCCUUUUUUACUCAAUCCAGAAUACCGAGAAAGUCAGAUUGAAUCAUUUUGUCGACCUUUCCUUUGGAUUUAUUAUCAUAGGUAGUGUUCGAGAUCGCCUCUGUGCGGUGAACGCUCGAAUGUAGCUAACAUCAGUUUUGUCCUCGCGUGGUUGAAGGAGAUGCUGCUGCUGGAUGGAAUGCUUCCGGGGCGCCAUGAUCCUUCUAUCAGGAAUAGAAUAAUCGAGGGCACUGACUGACUGCAUCAAUCAUCGCUCAGUGAGCUAUUAAUUGCCGCCAAUAGCGCUUCGCUUGCAUGCAAGGCGGCUAAUAAAAGCGCCUGGUAGACGCGCAUAGAUGCAUUUUGAGUACUGAUGGUACUGGACAAGCUCUAGGGGAAUAAUCUCUUUCUUAUUUCUUUCUUAUUUCUUUCCCAUGACGACUAGGAACGGGCAAAUCAAGAAUUUCACUUCGAAUUCUGGACCUCAACAUCCUGCUGCUCAUGGUGUUUCACGAUCAGUAUUGGAAAUGAACGGAGAAGUGGUGGAACGUGCGGAACCACAUAUUGGAUCACUCCAGUGCGGCACGAAGCCGCUGAUGCUGAGUAGGCUCCUAUGCCGCUAGCACGGUGGAGGUUCCGUAGCGCGUCAUGAGCACCGGGCAAAGGGACGGUUGAGCAACUCAAGCGAACCGCCCUACCUGACUUUGGAUAAAGAUAGAAGGGAGAAGGUUGUGAAGGUGGCCUCGUUAUCCACACAUCUGGUCGGAGGACCGACCUGGGUUUUAACGAGCGUAGGCGGGUCCUGGAGUGCCCGUCAAGGGCGCUAGCGCAUACCCUGGGGUGAUCAUCACCACCUGCACCUCACAUCUCGGCACAGUGGAACGUGUAACCCGCCUGCUGUCCAAGUCAACCACUGAAUUUCCUGUAAUUCAUAGCGCCUAACAGAACAUAGCAGCAAGGGACAACCCACCCAUACAGACAGCCUGCGGGGAGGAUGGCACUACUGGCAAAGACCGUCUGGCGAAAACGCCGCAGGCGCGAAGCAUGGUGGGCCUGCGCCGGGGGAGCAUAGGAAGGAAAGGGAGCCCGGACGGUGGAAGAGCCAGGGGAAGCCGGGUCAUUUGACGGAAAUGGAAGGUCUGAGCGGCUCAUUCAUUCUGGAAAAAAGAGGGGGGGAGCGAGCCAAUGUAUCAAUGAAUAGAUACAGUCAACGGUAUUAAGACAGCGCUGCCUACACGCGAAUUUGCUUUCGAGGUCGAGCAGUCUCAAUUUCACUACAUGAUUUUAGAAUGAAUGCUGGGCUGGGCCACCUCAAAUGGCGUGAGCCGCAUGCGGGGAGACCCGCACGUACGGUUUUCAGGGGGAUCCGGCCGGCCGGCGCCCACCCGACUAGAGGGACUGAGAAAUUAAUCGAGUACAAAACUUAUCUUCAAGCUUUACCUUAUUUUGAUCGUUUAGAGGGGGAUCGCGGAGUCACUGAAUGAAGUCCUCCCUCCCUUUCUUUCGGAGGUGCUGACCCGCUGCGAGGCAGAUAUGACUAAGUGACAUAUUGAAUAUGGCGACGACUACAACAUGUCGUAGAAGGAGAUAAGAGGUGGAGCCAACGACCCACUAAGACUCACGUAUCUACAACUACAUUCCCGAGCGGCAGUCAAACGGAGGCAUGAAUGCAAGAUGCCAGCGAAAUGAUCGACCAGACAGAGGCUAGGGCAGCUUUCUUCCCACCGCGUCCUUCCUUGUGUGUCGGAGAUACAAAGAGAGUGCACCAGAAAAGAAGGGGAACUGAAUCGAUCUAUUCCAUGGCGAAGCAUCCGAAGCAUAACUGCACACUCACACGAUCUUUGCCGAGAGAUAGGAGCAUUCGGUGGAACCGGUGAACUACACUUGCUUCUUGAUAGAUGUGUGGGACAGAGGGCUCGUGGUACUUGCUGCCCGCCCUUCCUCCGCUUUGAUAACCGUGUGAACGGAGAGUGGGCAGAGCAAAAGGGAAGGAGGUCCUCAUACGGAGUCGCACACUUGAGCAGUGCGGGAGACUGGAGAAUGGGUCGAGUAAACUCCCUUAGGGCCGAUUAAAUCACAGACGAGGAACUUUUCUUUCUUUUUUUCUUUUUGAUUUGAAGGGUAUGUUCUCAAAAAAGAAAGGCAGAGGUAAAUACUUCGAAGAGGCGGCUCGGUAGGGAUGGAAUGGUCAAUAGUCAAGUCAAGGAUGACUUCUUUGUUGGCGAAACGAUGGGGGAGAGAAAGCACGCCAGUGAUUCUCUGAGCCGGUCUUCAUUUCCAACGGCUCGGGAAACAGGUCGAGAUAGAUGACAUCACCUUUUUAUCCUCUUCCUUACCGGGAAGGCGCACUUCUCUUCUUCUUCUGGCCUUCACCUCCUGCCCGGCCCAGAAAUAGAACCCAGCCCCCUUUCUGAUCCAUUCAUUUCUGCAAGCAGGCGGGAUCCAGAGCUAAGCCCCCCUCCUAUUCGAAGCCGGGUGUGGCCUCGCCCUUUUGCUCUUCCUUCGGUUUGGCUCCACGAAGGCGCCGCCUAGACUAGGAGCCCCACUCAUAUUCAAAAGGUGCCCAGCUUUCAAGACGAUGAUAAUAAUUAGUCAACUUUUUCCAAUAUCAUGGAAUAGCAUGGCCCGGGGCUAAGGUAACUCCAGUGGGAGAGCCGUGUUAUGGGUGACCUUAUUGCACGGUUCAGAGAGCACUUGUGUAUGUGAUGCAAGUGAACGUGUACGAAAAAGCUGUCGUAAAGUUUCGUUGUUUGUUCCGUCGUUGACCCUAUCUAUGUUUCUACGAUGGCCCAAGAACACGCUCAUUCUUCAGCCGUAGAGAGACUUUUGAAUUGUGAGGUACCAUUACGAGCUCAAUAUAUAAGAGUGUUAUUCUGUGAAAUAACUGGAAUUUCAAAUCAUUCACUUGCUUCAACUACUCAUGCUAUGGAUGUGGGAGCAUCAACUCCGUUCCUUUGGGCUUUUGAGGAGCGGGAGAAAUUGUUGGAAUUCUAUGAAAGAGUCCCGGGAGCCAGGAUGCAUGCCAGUUUCAUACGACCUGGUGGAGUGGCACAAGAUCUGCCUCUUGGCUUAUGUCGAGAUAUUGAUUCCUCCACACAACAAUUUGCUUCUCGUAUCGACGAAUUAGAAGAGAUGUCAACCGGCAACCGUAUCUGGAAACAACGAUUAGUGGAUAUUGGUACUGUCACUGCACAGCAAGCAAAGGAUUGGGGAUUCAGUGGUGUAAUGUUAAGAGGUCGUGCGACAUGAAGACAUUGAUAGCAAUAUGGGGGAAGUUCCCAUCAGGCAACAACGGUUCUGCCUGACCCUACAAAAGCAUGCAUAUGUUGUCAGUGAAGAUUUUGUGUGAAGCCUUGGAGACGACGUACCCGGGGCUAGGGUGAGCUGAGGGGGGGACAGCGUAAGUGAGCGAAUGUGUGUAAGACCAGUCAAAGAUUCCUAUUCUAGGCGGGGCGGGCCAUCAACCUUCGAAUGGUGUUGGUCCUACGGACCGUGAACGGAUUCGCCUCUGGCCUCUGGGCACGUCGGAACCGCAUGAUUUCACCGGGGUGGGAGUUUUCUCCUUGAUCAAGAGCUAGGAAGGGUUCUCGUAUUGGUUCGACCAAGAACCAAUACGAGAACCCUUCCUUCCAGCCAGAAUCCGUCUUUCUUGUCCUUUGCAUUCGAGGAAUGGGAUCUGCCUUGUGGAAACAAAAGCUAUUUGUUCGAGUCAAGCAAGCGGACAGUCAGCUAAGAUACUGGAAGAGAACUCUCUAGCCCUGCACUUAAACUAGACUAGAAAUCCGAAAAAACACUAGUUUUGGCCCAUAGCGAAAUAGAGUUUUUCUUCUCCGCGGACUCCCCAUGCUUGGCGCCAUAGGCUUUAGGACUUUUGGCACUAGGGAAUCAUACUUUGAUCAGAUCCGUGGACAGGCUCCUGAGGUCAAAUCGGAUUAUGGACUUUUCCAGCUAAGUGAAAACGCACUUCACUACUAGCAAAGAAGUCAGCUCAGGGCAGGGCCGGUGGUAAUCUCAGAUAGGAACUUGCCGGGAUCCUUCCAUACCUGCCAUCCACCACUACUACUGAUCGUUUCCCAGAACGAGCCAUACCUUUUCCCAGAAUGAGAAUACGGCUGAGGACGAAUAGCGGCGCCUAGCUUUAGUUUCCACACGACACGAUGGAUCUAUCACUCUCUUUAGCCAGGCCAUUCUCUAGAGGAGAGUUCCGAGAAUGAAUUCCAAUCUGGUACCAAUCGUAGAAAUCGUAUUGUAGAGUUCUUCUCACACCUAGCACAGCUACAAGCAUUCCUCGAAUGCAGAGACAAGACGGAGGAUAUCUGAUCACGCGAAACAUCUGCUACCAACUACGAAUUACCUUGUUUCCAUGAAAUCCAUGUUUCUGGCACCUUGGCCCCCUCUACCUAGGAAAUUCUGAUUCCUAUGGUUGAAGAAAGUACAGCAUUGUCAAUUCAACCUGAAAAAAGGGGAAUAAGUUGACAAAGUCAGCUUGAAUAUUACGGUAUGGAUCAAAGGAAGCUAUACCCGCCUUGAUUUCUAUCAAACUUAUUAGAUAGUAAAGCAGACAAGUCUGAAAUGGAAUGUUUGAUCGGUAUAUGUAGGGCUCUCAAAAGAGAAUCUAUUUCAGCAUAGUUGAUUUUCAGAAGCCAACUAGAACUUCACAGCUGCCGUAUAGUUGAUUGUUCCCACCAGUUUCAUUCUCAUAUGGUCAGUUUCACGAAUGCAAGGAUUUACUACGACUCUCAGGUGUAAACCUUGGUCGUAUACAGCAGUGAACUAGCUAAAUAUAGCUAGAGGAGUAAUAUAGCUAAAUAUAGCUAUAGGGCAUUCCACAGAGGUGAAAUUCUCUCGGCAAAGUAGAACAAGAAGCAGCAGAAAGCAAAACAGUAUAAGGGUCGUUCGGAGUUCCAGGCACAAAACAAUUCUACAGAACUGGGUAUACCAAACAGUUGAUCAACAAGGCAAAUGUCCACUAAACCAGCUAAACGGCUCAUGAAUUGUUUGGAAUGCGACGGCAAAUGUGAUCUCCCAGCAAUAUCUCGAGUCCAAAACCUCACCCAUCUACAUAUAUCAUCAUCUGUGGCAAGAACAUAGCAACACCAAAAUCCUACCAGCAACUGCUGCAAUGCACCCUCCUCACGACAGCCAACCAUCGACGGUGUCAGACUAUGAUUCAGUUGCUGUACUACUCCUCUUUGUUCUGUUUCAUGUUUUUGGCGGUUUCGUUCUUGUGUCUGAGUCCAAAGAAGACGGUGGAUGUUGAUCCAGUAGCAAAAUUGUGCUUCCUGUUGUAGGAUUUAUGUAUCGUGCCGUGCGUAGAUUCAGACGACAUGGAAAAAAAUCCAGGUUUAUGUACGACACGCUCUUUCCUUCCUUCAUUCGGUGACGCACAGAGGUGGCAGAGUCUUGUUCCUGGAGUCGCUCACAACUUUUGGGAGCACCGAGAUCCUGAAUAAGAUGCUGCACGAAUUGGCUGAGGUGUUGGGAGCCCCCAAUAGAGAAGGACGAUGCGGAAAGGGAUGAUGGGAAAGUGACAAGACUGGACUUCGACUCGUUUAAAAAGAGUUGUAGCCAUACGGAAUUCCAAUUGGAAUGGACCCAUCUCAUGAUACAAGUUACCUUGGAUUUCUUUCUAUUCCUAUUUCGCUGGUCAAUUCUAGUUUUUGUUAUGAUGAUCUCAUGGAUAGUAGUAUUGAGUUCUAUAAACAGAUUGAUAGUAGGUUUUAAGAUAGCUUAGCCCUUGCUAUGAUUCAAUUUGUAUUGAAGAAGAGGGGCGCCAACCCUAUGGGGAAUGUAGCUAUGCUGUACUUCUUCCUACUAGCUACGGUGCAGCACCUGUUCCUAGCUACGAUGCUGCUCCUGUCCGCCCCUUGAUUUAUCACCGCUUUGGUCUUUUAUUGGUCAUUGAUUUAUAGAUGGGAGGAUAAGUACCCUGGCUCGACCCCAGAUAUCGAUUUAGCAUUCGAUUAUCGGAUCUCCGAAACGGGAAACCAGAAAAGUAAUCGAAAUCGUGUGCCAGCGGGACAUACGAAAUUCACACUUUUUGACUCUCAAUCCACAGGUGGAGAUACCAGGGGUGGGUUUUCAUGGCCUAUAGUCUCCCCUGCCGACGAAGCACGAACUACUUGUUGAAAUCGCGGAUCCAAAUCUUGCAUUUCUCCUUUACUCGUCAAAGGCCUCGUAUUGUUAUUCCCAUGAUUCAUGUGGGCUAUCUGCUCUUUAUUGUAGGGUCCUACUCCCACCUAUCCUUAAAAAACGAUGUGAGUGGCUCAUACUAAUCAAAUGUACAAGUAACUGACCCUUAUCAAGCUUUCCACACAUAGUGUUUUGAUCUAAGAUUGCAAUUCUUCCAUGUUUCCGCAGUAGCAUAUUGUUCCAUGGAGCUAGGGUCCAAAAUAGGAAUCAACAAGUGUUUCCACGACUCUACCACCCGGCCAAUCCUGUUCCACUGAAUCCCCUCCCUUUUUCAUGGCCACAUAUCUUUAUGGCUAAGGAGUGGGAAAUCUUUCUCCUGUUACACAAAUCAAAUGUUUCAUUUCAUCCGGGAAAAGCCACCUCUUUCUCCACAAACAAUGUCUUUGUCAUUUGAUCCUGUUUUUAUCCGUUAGAUAGGAACAGCUUUGCUAAAUACUGAGAACUCUCGGAUAGAGUAUUAGAAUGAAAAGACCAUUAAUUAUAUAAGGAAGAACCCAGGGUUCUAGCCCAUUCCCAUUCCUAAAUCAAUAAUUCGUAGUGCUUUUGCCUUUCUUGCGUACUCCUGGUGAACCAGUUGCUAGCCAUAUGUUUAGGAGGCUAUUUUCUCCUAUUAAGUAAGAUUCUUAAGCUUAAUAAGCCCAAAGAUCGAAAAGUACGGACCAUUUUGAAAUAAAACCGGACCAUUUGUAAAUCAAAAUAGAAAAACAAAUCUAGCUACUCUCUUCUCUGUCUCCUUCAGAAAAAGAAAGCUAAGGCAAUUGGUGUUGAAUAAACAAAACCACACCGAACCAGUUAGGAGUUUUCAGAGAUUAUGCCCAGCGUCACAUGACACCACUUCAUUGUAUGCAACACGAGGAACCGAUCAAGAAAGACGAAGCAGACAUGCACAAGUUCAAGAGCGAGGUCAGACAAGCAUGUAUCAGAAGAGCAACGUGAUCAAGGCUGCAGCUGCUGCUGCGAGGACUAACAUCACAAGGGAAAUCCGGCAGGAACUGAAGGCCACCGAUCCCGACCGAUCGCACGACACGGACGUCGAAAGCUCCUCCAUAGUCGACGGGGGCACUUCACUUGUCCUGGGGCGGCAGCAGCACGGACAUGCACAACUGAUUUCAAUUAGUACACACGAAGUAUGAUCAACGAUUCCGCAAAGAUAUUAAUUCCAGUGUUCAAACGAUCAAAUGGAUGAGAUGAUCAACGAUUGCUCAGAUUAAAAAACUAGAAGGUACAGUUACAACUUAACAGAUCUGUGCACUCAGAGUUUGAGAAGACUAUAUAUAUAGCAUCCGCAUCACCAGGACACUCGAUACUGUAAUUAGUAGGCAGUUACAAGUUAAUAGAACAGAUGCUGCAGGUAGAAGAAUUGAAUCAAUAAUCAGUUUUAUCAUACAAUCAAGUUUGAAUAUGUAUUCCUAUAGCCCUAUAGCAGCAUAUAACAAGAAAUGGAGAGAACACCACAAGUGAAAAUAAAAAAAUUUCGUUUUGUUGUGGGCAGAUGAGCAGGGAUCAUAUGGUGCGAAAGCCGAAAUGGCCAAGAGUCUCUGAAUGGCAUUAGUGGCCGCAGAUUCACCGAAUUACUAGACAAGCAGAAAAACGUUUACCUGGAGACAUUUUAGGCGUGGGAGGUGAGUCAGGUGUGAAAUGCAUCUCAGGAAGCGACUUGAGCCCUGUUUCAAAUGGGGGGAAACAAAUAAAUGAAAAAAUAAAAUUGGUACAUUCAAAAGAACUGCUCAACUGAUCAGUAAUCAUGACUAACCAUAGCAAAAAAGCACAGUAAUAAUAUCCCUAAGAAUAGCAUCCAGAGCUCGCUGGUAAUCCGCAUCUACCACCAACCAUCACCAAUGUAGCUUCACAAGGACUCACAAGAACAAGGAUAGGAGCGCAUAAACUUAUUUUGUAACUUGUUCGGUGAUCAAGAACACGCGCAUAGGGAGCACAAGAAUCGAUCGAAGCAUAUACUCGCCAUCAAGAAGGGACAAGUUUCUCCCCCCGGCCCUACUCCCCAACCAACCCACCGAACUAACUCCAUACGUUCAUCAUCAUACAUUGCGUACCGUGCAUUUUUCCUCUUCCUUCCAUACUGUGCAUGAGGCCUUUGGCUACUCAAUUUAUUUUCUUUUGCUGCUUCUCUAUUCUACAUAGACCCGGCAAUCUCCCUCCAACAAAAGCAUACUUUUUGAGUACUCUAAAGAAAUAUAGCCCAUUGGGCCGGCUUUAGGAUUAUGCUUACUCCUACUGUGGAGAAAACCAGAGGAGUCCGACUACCAUUUCUUCGUAUGAAGUACGUACUUGUUCUUCACCGUGCAAGCUCUACAGGUUUCGGAAUCCGAGGCCUUCAAGUUCAACCGUAGACGUAGAAGCAAACCGGUACUUAAGCAUCGAGCGAAUGAGAGACGAGUGAGACGCCUUUAGCUCCUAGAAUGCCUUCUUCAACUUUGCUAUACGCAAUUCGUGCGCCAAAUAGAACUGCUAGACUACGUCGAGUUGUGACCACUCAUGCCUCUAAAGAGCGAGGCAAAGGGUAACACUAGGGCGGAGCUCCACCUUUUGUUCUUCCAGCUCAGACUCCUAAACUAGAAACUAUAUAAGAGGCACGAGAUGAUCAGGUGUGUGCACUAAAGCUCGACAUGAUGAAAGCUUAUGAGAACUUCACUGCUAUAGCUGAUACGGGAUCUAAUGACUUAUUUCUUAAAAUAGGGUUUUGUGACUACCGAAAGUGUCUCUUUUCAUGACACAGGGGGGGUCUCUGUGGCCCUAGUUUCUUUGGCCCAUUUGAAAUGAGCUACGAAUAGGUCCUACUUCAGACAAUCCUUCGUUGUCCCUUCAGAGGAGAUGAGUGGGAUGACGAAUGAGUUCUUUAAACAUCUCUAUACUGCUGAAGGUACUGAAAGAAUGGAGGAUGUUCGUUCUGUCGACAGUUCCUCGGAAAGUAUCUCAGGCAAUGAAUGAGCAAUUGACUGCGCCCUUUACUGGUUCUGAAGUGUGACCUUUUUAAGAUGUACCCUGAAAGGCCCCUGGCCCGGAUGGCUAUCCAGCCCACUUUUUUUCAGCGAAGGUGGGAUUUCUAUGGUGAUGAGGUUAGUGACUUCAGUUACCGUCUCGGUUCUUUUCAAUGGGGAGCGUCUUGAGGAAUUCAAACCUUCUCAGGGACUACGCCAGGGAGAUCCAAUCUCUCCGUACUUAUUCUUGUUAGCAGCAGUUUAGGUAUUCGAAAUAGCGAAAUACAUAAAUUAUCUAUCUCAAGUACGUCUUGUACUUAUCUUGAGCCAUCAGUCAGAUUGAAUGCAGCGCCCUGCCGGCAGCUCCUGACCUCUGUUCCUAUGGGGGAAAGAAGGUGUGGCUUUGGACCCCAAACUCUUCCAUGACGCCCUUCUUCUUAUAGCAUGGGUAAGUGAUCAAUACAGACAAAAAUCACACCCAUUGGAUCCAUCCUGAUAUGAUUGGGUGAUUUGCACGUUCCCUUAAGAACAAGCACACACACACUAAAUCCUGAAAAGAAAGAUAGAUGCUCAUCUUCACACUGAUAGCAGCAGGCUCACUACGUACGUUGUCCAACCCACCUCAUAAGACAUCUUUCCUCGGAUAGCCAAGCGAAAGAGGAGGUCUCAAGCGUGCAAAAACACAUGUAUGAACAGGAAAAGAUGUGCAAUCAAGCUCAGAGACUGCAGAUAACGGAUCUCUCAGGCACCGGUUUCCCUCAGUUCAGGAAGGGAAGCGAGCUUUCAAGGGUCCAAGGAUAAAAAAGGUAAUUAAUAUGUCUCCGACCGAAGUGAUAGAUAAAGGCUUUACCCAUUGGCAAGGAACACUUGGAGGAGUGAAACAACGAUUCCGCCUAGCGUAGGACACGUAUAUUUGAUCCAAUCUAGCAAGCGUAGCCAGCCCCACCCACGGGUGAAAUUGUACAGCUCCCUAUCUCGUUGAAAGCCCCUUUGCUUACGGAAGAGAAGAGUUGGAUGCCGUGGUGGGAAAGCUCCCGUUUCAACUUUGCUUCUUGUAAGCUUCGGUAUAAAUAGCUCACUUGCGGGAUCUAAUCUCAUUCUAUGGGAACAGCUUUCAUUUCUAUCUUUUGGCUUAAAGUGGUGAACAAAUCCUUUCUCUUCACUUUUUGUGCUCCGCAUGGCUCCGGUCAAGAUGUGACUCAUCCUGUAUAUACAUAAUUAGGAGACCUCUCACGAACUUGUUAAAGAAAGGAGUACCAUUUGUGUGGACAAGCCAAAGCAAUCCUUUGAUGUUCUCAAGCAAGCUUUAAUUGAGGCCCCUGUGUUGGUUCUCCCUGAUUUCAGUAAAAGAUUUGUGCUAGAGACAGAUGCUUGUGGGCAUUGGAGCUGUGAUAAGGGGUAGAAGUAUUCGUGUGGGGUGGGUUUCGAAGGGAAGGUUGCACAAUAGAUUGGAGAUCCUUUGAGGAAGACUGAAAUGACUAUACUUAUAGAAUGGUCCAUAUCGAACAGAUACGAUACUGGUUUACACAGAGAAUAUCGCCUAGCUCUAAAACGGCAGCACCUGAGUGCAACUUAGAGUAAGAAAGAAUGACCUUCUGCUACCUUUUUACCGGGGCAUUGUUUUAACAACUUUAGCUGAUUGAUCUACGAAUGGAGGGAUUCCAGCUUAUUUUUGUUAACCGAGAUGCAAACGACUAACAAACUGGAUUCGAAGCCACCUGUCGUAAUAGUACCCGCGGGUUCUUUCUGUGGAGCCUUCAAAUGCAAUAGCUAGCUGCCCAACGGCCAAUGCCACAGGCAAAUCUCCAUUUUCCAACUUAUACAACUCUUUGGGGUCCAAAGAUACUCGCCAUUGCAACUUAAUAAAUAGGACCGGUGGGAUCGCCUUCAACAGAUAUAUCGGUUUCACUACUUUCGUACCCUUUGUUUUGGUCAUGUGGAUGACCCGCAGACCGUAGAUAAGAUGGAUACCCACGUACUGCCUUCAAUGAAGAGAGUUUUACCAAGGACCCUUAGACAGAUAGGGGGGACAGACAAGAGGUAUGCAACCUGCUGAAUAUUGUCACUGAAUCGCUCACUGACAAAUACUUGGGGCUCCCCUCCCUGGUAGGAGUGGAUAGGAGCGACUGCUUCCAACACUUAAUUGAGAGAGUUUGCACUCGGAUUAAUGGCUGCAAAGAGGAAGGGCUAAUUGGCUUCGCCAUGGAGACCGAAAUACGAGCUUCUUUCAUCACAUCAUUUUGCAAUGGAGAAAAAAGAAGAACAUAAUAAAGUUUCUGAAUGACUCAAACGGCAAUAGGAUCGAAGGUAAUGACCAGUUAGCAUCUCUGAUACAGGGUUACUUUGAGGGACUGUUCACCUCAGAAGUCCUAGCUCCCGACCCUGGGCUACUGGGGAAAGUAAACAUGCGAGUAACUGAAGAAAUGAACACAAGCCUCUUGGCUCCGUUCACGGCAGAUGAAGUAAAGGCAGCACUCUGAAUUCAAUCAAGAGUUAGGUACAGUAAUCUUCAGAUAUGACAAUACCUCCCCCAAAGCAUUGUCAAGUGUUGGAAUUAGGGCACCAACCACGAAUAGGAGCUGUAUAGAACUCCGCAAAGAGACCUUUGAUGAAGUCGGCAUCCUCCCAAGUGGCAUUUGCUUGAUCCAAACUAGCCCACUUCCUUGGUUGCUGAAAAACCAUGCAACGCAAGUAAUUUUCCACACACUGAUUCACACGUUCUGUCUGGCCAUCUGAUUGUGGGUGAUAGGCAGAGCUAAACCUCAAUUUCACUUGCAGUGCUUUGAAGAAGGCCUGCCACAUGUUACUUGUGAAUAUCCAGUUUCUAUCAGAGACUAUUGACUUUGGCAAUCCAUUCCACUUAAAAACAUUAUCCAUGAAAGCAUGAGAGACUGAUUGUACUGUACAAGGGUGAGCAAGGGGAAUGAAAUGAGAAUAUUUAGUGAACCUGUCCACCACCAACAAUAUGACUUCUUUGCCCAAUGAUUUGGGAAGACCCUCAAAGAAAUCCAGGGAGAUGUCAGUCCAAGCAGAAGUAGGUAAUGGCAGUGGAUCUAGGAGACCAGGGUAGUUGCAAUGCUCUCCCUUGACUCUUUGGCAAACUGCACACUCAUGUAGAAAAGUUUCAAUCUCCUAGCCUGGCGCCAAUCAAAUAGCUUUUUUACCCUUUGAUAAGUAGCCACAAUGCCUCAAUGGCCUCCUAUGGGAGAGUUGUGAAGUGAAUCAAUGAUUUGGUGUUUAAGAAUAGCAUCUGAUCCCACAUAUAUUCUUCCUUUAUAUCUCAAAAUGCCAGAAUGAAGAGUAUAAGGGGGUGCUGCAUUGGCUGAUACAGUGAGCUUCUCAAGCAGUGAUUUGUAGUGAUCAUCAUUAGUGUAGCUGGUUUCUACAGUUGAAGCCCAAGCAGGAGUAACUACAGUGACUGCCAUCAUAAGAGAAUCUCUUCUGCUCAAAGCAUCUGCAACCUUGUUUUCUUUUUUUGUAUUCAAUCUUGUAAUUGAAUUCAAGCAAUUUUCACAUAAGCUUGUGCUGGAUGCCCUCAGUUUUGAUCAAUAAAAGAAUUGGGAACCAAGAAAGUAGUGGCGCCAUCUCUUCAAGGAUUCACAAAUAGCUAAAGCUUCUCCUUAUCAUAAGUUGACAUAGCUGCAUUUCUGGGUCCAAGGGUUUUACUGAAAUAAGCAAUUGGUCUGCCUUGUUGCAUGAGGACAGAACCAAUACCUUGACCUGAUGCAUCUGUUUAAAAAGUAAAUGGUAGGGUCAAAUCAGGCAAAGCCAUAACAGGAGCAGUGACCAGACAAUUCUUCAAUGUUGUGAAGGCCUCAAUUUGAGCAUCUGACCACUGGAAUGAUUCUUUUUUAGACAGUCAUGAAGUGGCCUAGAAUUUAUCCCAUAAUUCUUGACAAAUCUUCUUUUUCUGCAGCCAUACCAAGAAAACUCCUCAACUGAGUGAUAGUCUUAGGUGCUGGCCAUUCUUUAAUGGCAACUAUUUUGUGGGGGUCUGUAGAUAGACCCUAUCCUUAGAUAACAUGCCCUAAAUACUCCACUUGAGGGACAGGAAAACUUCAUUUGCUAAUUUUAGCAUAUAGUUUUUAUGACCUUAGAAUGUCCAGGACUAACUUUAGAUGCUUGAGAUGAGCUUGUUUGCUAUAUAUCAGAAUAUCAUCAAAGAAUACCAAAAGGUAUUUCCGGAGCAAAAACAUGAUUCAUUAAAGAUUGGAAGGUAGCAGGUGCAUUAGUCAGUCCAAAUGGCAUCACUAAGUAUUCAUAAUGACAAAAAUAUGUCCUAAAAUUUUGGAAUGUCUUCUCUUCUCAUUCUUAUCUGAUGAUAACCUGAUCUCAAAUCAAGUUUGGAAAACAGUUGUGCACCAUGUAGCUCAUCUAAUAGAUCCUCAAUGACAGGAAUAUUGAAUUGAUUUUCUGCACUUAACCCGAAAGCAAGUUUGAAAACAAGACCUGCUCUGUGAAGUGAUGGAAGUAGUGAAGGUUUAGGCUUCGGAUCUGUGAAGUUUAGGUUUUGGAGUAGAGGUCAGAGGCUAGUGCGGGUAGCCCUGUCGGAAACUAGAAAGAAGAGGCUGAUGCACCUGCCCGGCGGUGGGUGGGUUCAGGUCGAUCAACUGGGAUAGGAGUUUUUUCUCUAUCUUGCUCCAUGGUGUUCAAGCAGUGCGUCCAGAAAGCUGUGAUUCAUGGGAGGGAGCAGCUUCAAUAGCUUUGGCUGUGAAAACUCUUGGUCUUGGAGCAUCAGUGUCAUCAGUUCACCCAAGAUCAGCAGGACAAAUAACUACUAGGUUUGUGCCAGAAAAGUGUCUUGCAUGACGGGGAAAGAGUGGAAAAAGAAAGAGAUUCAUCAGCUAUGGAAUCUGACAGGUAUCGGUAUUGAACAGAGGGGGCUGUUCACAAAGCAUCCCAUGGAUGGUAAUGGUGCUUCCCCAGCUGCUGUUCCUACUCCUUUGGCUGGUGCCAAAUCAGGUGACUUUGAAGUUGAAGCUUGCCCGCAGAACGAUGUAACCAUGCUGGUAGUACUAUGAUUGCCUUAGAGCGCAGAUGUCUCUGUCCCUAGGAACGUGAUGCUUAGGUGCGAGGUGAAACACAAGCAGGAGAUCGAGAAAAGAAAUCAUACGGAUUGCAACCUACAGAUGAAGAAUCUGCUUCAUUGUUCCCACCAUCUAUAUCAGAUGUUUAAUAAGAAUAGGAAUCGAAUAAGCUGCUGAUUGACUGAGGAAGCAUUUGAAAAGAAAGGAAGGGUGAUGCUUGUUAAACAAAGCUGCGUGUGGGGCCGCCACGUAUAGCUGUAGUUUCUGCUGUAGCAUCGGUUAUUUCCGUUAUUGCUGUAGUAGCAUCGGUUAUUGCUCAGGUUACGAAUGACCCAAUCUAUCUAUGGCAACCACCCCUACUUUUAGUAGAUGGAGAUGCGCACCUAGAAAAGACGGAUGAAAGAGAACCUGCCCUUCUGACUUCUUCUCUUGUCUGUCCUUUACGCAGAGCGAUCUAUGGUCUCAACAAGCCCCGAUAGCGUCGGUUUUUGAAGUUCAGCACAGUGGUUAUGUUAUCCAGGCAGGGUUUGCUCGGAGUGAUCAUGAUUCGGCCAUGUUCGUAUCAGUUUAUCCUCGAGGACGUGCUAUUCUGUUGUUGUAUGUUGAUGAUAUCAAACUGACUGGUGAUUACUCCGUUACCAUAUCGCUGAUCAAGUGUCGCCUUCAUCAAUUAUUUGCUAUGAAGGCGCUGACGUGCCCUAAGCCUUUUCUUGGCUUGGAGGUCGCACAUUCUCCUCGUGGAUAUUUGGUAUCUCAGAUCAAAUAACGUCAUGACUUGAUCACUCGAGCUCAACUCAAUGAUGAGAAGACUGUUGACACUCCCUUGGAGCUUUACGUUAAACUCCGUCCGACUUAUGGCUCACCAUUAUCUGAUCCGACGCACUACAGACAGUAGGUCGGCAGUUUGGUUUAUCUGACGAUCUCUUGCCUAGAUGGCUUUUCCUAAGAAAGUCAGCCUUUCAUGGCUGCCCCCCAGUCAGUUCACUUUGCAGCAGUUCAUCGGAUUCUUAGAUAUAUUCGAGGUACCUUUUCUCGAGCCGUCCUUUUUUCCUUCAUCGUCUUCUUUAGAGUUGCGUGCAACUACUGAUGCCGAUUGGGCCUUCAGAUAGGUGCUCAACUACAGGCUUAUCUAUUUUAUGGGGAGACGAGACACUAUCUUGGAUGAGAUAAAAGCAAUAGACAGUUGCUCCUUCCACUGCCGAAGUGGAGUACCGUGCCAUGGCACACUACUAGAUAGAUUGUAUGGCUCCGUUGGUGACUUUCUGAUCGCGGGUUUCAUUUGAAAAACCCCAACGCCAUUCAUCUUGCGUCAAAUCCAGUCUUUCAUGCAAGAGUUUCAUUUUUGGCCGCUACUACGUUCGUCGAAAACUUCUUGAUGGCACCAUCAUCUCAUUACCUUAUUUUUUCCCUUCGACUUCGGCUAUGACCAAUGCCCCACCUAGCUGAAUAGGCGUAACAAAGCUACCUGAAAAAGGCAAGGUGCACCUUAGAUUGAAAUUGACAAAUUUCGUUUUGCCAGAUGGAUUCUUUAGAAAGAUUCCCGGAUAAAGUUCAGUAGAAUAUUUAGUUAGAAUCUGAAUAAAGGCGCAUACGUGGGCGGGCAGGGGCCCCCACUACUUCUUCAUUCAGGGGGGGGGGCUAGCCUCAUGACUUCCCACUGGGCGAGGGGUGCACCUAACCCACCUACUCACUCAUCAAUUAUGGUGUUCAGCUGACUUGCACAGAAAGACCCCUAUUGUUUAGUAAUUUGGCGCCCCAUCUUUUGAUUGACUGUUGUCAACUAAUCUUUUCAAUGUUCAAUUCUACUCUAUGUUAGAACAUUUCUGUGAAUGCUAUUUCGAUCUAAGUGGUCCUAUUCUCUGUCCCGUGCUAGGAAGCAUUACUCCUCUUUUCAUUCCAAAUUCUUCAAUAAGACCGAUACGAUUGAUUGGUCUGUGUGUUUCUCUUAUUACUUUUUUGUAUCCCCCUGUUCCUCGGAUACAAUUCGAUCCUUCUACGGCCAAAUCUCAAUUUGUGGAAAGCCUUCGAUGGCUUCCUUAUGAAAACAUCCAUUUGUAUAUGGGUAUAGACGGUCUUUCAUUAUUCUUCGUGAUAUUGACCACAUUUCUGAUCCCUAUUUGCAUUUCAGUGGGUUGGUCUGGUAUGAGAAGUUUUGGGAAAGAGUAUAUUACAGCAUUUCUAAUUCGUGAAUUUCUAAUGAUCGCCGUGUCCUGCAUGCUGGAUCCUCUACUAUUCUAUGUUCUUUCCGAAAGCGUGCCAAUCCCUAUGUUGUGCGGAGCUGAGCAUCUUCUAUUCGCUGGGAUCAAGCUUUUCCUCUGCAGGGGCCUUGUGAGUAAACCCCCUACGGGCGGUCCCCCGUCGUCGUAAAGUAGUAAAGGUCCCCGCGAAGCUUUCGGGAAGAGGGGUAGUCUUGUGCGUAAGCAUAGCAUUUCUGGUCGAACCACCGAACCACACAUCUUUUUUUGGUGGGAGGGUACUCCGAGUAGUGGGUACCUCGUAGGACCUCGACCCGCCUACUCAGGUCUUGUAUGGAUAUGCAGGAAGGGGUGCUCCUAGGUGUGUGUAGGGGGUGUGUUUGUUCGCGAGAAUGAAUUCCUCGUCAAGUCAGGGGGGUGUGGACACACUUGCGCGAAUUCGGGUAACGGCUACAAGGGAUAAAAAUAAAGGAAACUGUACCCGACCAGGGAUGGACGUAAACUCGUAAGCUACCGAGGGUAGGGAUAAUUGUCCAGGUCUUAUUAAAAAAAAGCCGCCCCGCCACUGUAGGCAGGUUAGUUCCUCUGUCGUUGACGGAGAGUUCUUGGCGAAGAGACCUUAGGAUAAGUUGCUAAAACAAACGGAGGGGAGGAUCGACCCGUUCAGUAGAAUUCCGAAGAAAGACUGUUGGCAGCAGGUGGAGACAUUUCUUUGGCCCCCUUCCAAAUAAAUGCGGGCAGGGUAGAGCUCGGCAGAGGGUUCGAGAAUAGGGUAGGGUUUUUUACGGUCGGGUCCCCUACCACUAGUUCGGCUAGCCUUCUUUCGGGCAGGAAGCAGGCCUAAACGACGGGCGGGCAUCUCCCGCUACGCAAGCAGCAUUGUUCGCCACCACCCGAGAAGCAAAAGAUUCGAGAGUAAAGGUGGAAAAGACAAGCAUAGUGGUCUAAUGACAAGGGCCGACGACGGAAGCUCGGGACGGAGCCGUAUGAUGCGGAAGUCUCACGUACGGUUCCCUGAGAAGGGAGUGGCUACCCACUGGAGCUUCGACCAACUACCACCGGUCAAUUCUGUCUUAUCUCUGUGCCUCCUCUAGCACGGCAAUCAUUUGGUUCUGUGCCUCCUUUGAUGACAUUGAAGAAUGCAGUCAUUAUGCUGCCUUCAAAGGAAUCACUGAACAUGCUACUAGAACAUGCUUCUUUCUCAAUUUAUAGGAAUCGUUAACCGCAACUCUCCUUUUCAGGCUUGGAUUGGUUUUUUGAUGCAGUAGAGAAGCCGUUUCCUUUGAACUUGGUCCAUCGGACAGAUAUAGACAUGGAGAAGCUUUUCAAUGUCAAUCUUUCACUACUUUGUUUGGACCUUGCUUCUUCACUUAAUGCUUGCUUUCCGUCUUGCCUUUGCUGGGCCUAUGAUAGGCUGUACUCCAAUACGAAAUAGGAUUGUACAUGAAGGUUGGUGAAAAGCAAAAGAAGCAAUUGGUUCUCAAAUGCCGUGACGUCACCUAGCUUUAUUCUAUAUUUCUCAUUCUAUUGGUAUGUAUAGUGUCUUUCAUCUGCUUUUUCAUUCAUGCUGCCCACAGCCGUUAGGUAUUAUGACAAAAGGAACCAGCAUGUUGCUCCUGAAUCUACAGAUAGAGAAGAGGGCACGUCUCUUUUUCUAGAAGCCGGUCUAUGUUCUUAUUCUUAAUCGAAUUCUAAAGAAACGUCAGUUUCAAAUCACUUCCAUUGGGCUGAGCGGGUCAUAUAUGCCUUUUGGCUUUCACCUAUGUUAUGUAUUCUCUCACAAUCACUCCUAGCAAUAAGUGAAAAGGCGGCUACCGAUACUGUCGCAACACCUCCUCUUCUGUGUCUACUUCUCCAUUCUAAUUUCUGACUGGUUCACGCCUGCUUGUGUAUUGGUUAUAACCUUUGUACUGUAUUUUGUUUGGCUUAAAUUGCCAAAUGGCGAGACCAGACCCCAUGAAGCUUCUAAGUCUGAUGUUGAUUUGCAAGAAUCAGAUUUACCAAUGGGAAGAACGCUUAGUGUAUCCGCGGUGGGUGAAUCUUAGGAAACUCGCCUUGUCCGAACAAAAGCGGUAGGUAGGUAGGUGGUAGUUAGAAGGAUUCCUUCGGGGAGCUGCUUCUUCCUCUGGAUUCCCUUCUUCUAUAGACAGACCCCCGACUAGGGCAGCAGCGUUUUAAAGAAAUACGAACAGUUUGGUUUUCAGUGAGCCCGCUUCUUAGUGAUAGGUUUCUAAAGUAUCUAUCGCUAUGUGCCCCUCCCCAGAAAAAAACAAAUAGGCUCGGGCAAUUAUCAGCUUAGGGACAGCAAGCGGAUAGUAGAUCUGGCUCCAUCCCUUAAAUCCGCUGUAACUGAUAGAAUCUUGUACGAGAGACCCGCAAAUAAAUAAGGAAACCCGCUUAAAACGCUUUUUAAGUAGAAGCUGAGCCAUUACCUGCUAGCAUAUCUCCCCACCAGGACUCCCCCCAAAGCAAAGCGAAACCCGUUCUUUAAUUCAAUACCUAGAGACGCUCCAGUCCAAGUUGAGGCGCGGUAGGAGGGAUUUCUGUCACCAUUAUUUAUGGACCACGUAAACAUACUUUUUUAGUUUAGAUUCUUAUGCUGGACCUGCAGCCCUAGCCUGGGACACCACUGUGCGACAUAAAGAUCGGAUCAAGUUAUGAUUUUCUCAUUAAGAAAGAGUACCCAAGAAGAAUAGAUAUGAUCCGGAAACACUCUUAUUCGACGAGGCGUAGAGCGUUUGACUUUCUUCUUUACAAUUUCCUUAAUGCGCAUGAAUGAGAGAUUACAACACUUAGUAUGAGCAUAUCGGCCUAUGGAAGAAAGUUCGUAUCGUAUUAGUGCGCUUUAACUAAAAAGCCAUUAGCUACAACCUUUGAUCAUGGUUUGGUAUCCAAAUAGGAAAUUCUAUCCAGUCCCUCGCUACACUAUUUAGACGGAUUGAAGCUUAAGCCAGAUCGAACUUGUCUGAGUAUAUGCAUUGAUCCUAGAAUAGAUUCACAAGCUGAAGGGAGCCUCCUAAGAAGAAUAUGACUAAAUACUCGGGUCAAUCCCCCAUUGGGGAGGGUAUCACGUUUGGUGGAGUUCGCUAUCAGCCAAACUUGAGCUCUUUUGACAGUCCUAAGAAAAUCACUCACCCCGGCGGAUCCGGAAUUCCAUUAUCAGGGCAAUCUUCUUAUGCUCAGCGCAGACGCACCUCUCCUAACUAUGGAGUUAGCAAAGGGGUAUCUCAAUCCAUCCUAUCUUUUUACGAGGAUCAUAGGAAUUGGGAUAACCUUGGGCUCUUCCCGCGCCCUUUCAGGGUUCUUGGUUAUCACUUGGCUAUUCGCUCCAUUCCUCUUCAAUCCAUCAGGAUUUGAGUGGCAGAAAAUAGUAGAUGACUGGGAUGACUUCUUUUCUUUCUUCUGAAGUCAGUGUGCUUCUUUACCAGGCAUAACAUGAUAAUUCCUCUAUGGCGUGUGCUCCUUUCCUAUGUAAUGACUUUCCUCCUUUUUCAUGCCUCGUGCGCGUGCAUAAGCUACGAGUUCCCUGGCCCACCCUAGUUCAUCGAAUAGUGAGACUGUUCAGCCGUUAAUGCACCUAGGACGUGCUUACUAGGAAGAUGAGAGACAUGCUCGCUAGCCCCAAGUUGGGGUGCACCUAAGUUCUAUCAUACAUAAGGAAAUAUCUAUUGGACCAAGGGAUGCCUGCUCAAUUCCAUUUUAUGGUUCGAUCUAGCAAAAUUAUUAACAUAGUUCAAAUCGGGACGAGGAAAAGAAGGCAUAGGAGUGGCAGAUGCACGAUCACUUGUAAAGUCCUAUGAGCCAGGUUUAUUGACUGGAUUGUGUACCAUAGAAAGUAAGUCUACCAAGAAGCUACCAUUGAAAUGGAAUCUGGAAUAGUAGGAAGAGUCCUCGAGUCAAACAUCUUGGUCUACCCUACCCAGUAGGAUUCAGCAACCACUGAAAAGCAAGGAGAAAUCUUUGUACGUAAUCCUUCGCUCGAUCAUUUGCAUCAGCAUGUCUUUCUUUUGCCAAAACAAAAAGACGAAGCGAUUUCCUCUUGUUCGAGUGUUAAGCAAGCCUGUUGCCUCUUGUUGUUCUAGGGUCAGCAAGUAGGAAACAAGGCUUGCUUAACACUUGUCUUCUGUUCCUGUCCCCUUCCAAGUUAGGGGAUGGUUCAUGCCCUUUGAAAUGAGAUUCUGAGGAAGAAACGCGCGCUGUAUCAUGAGUUAGUAGGUCAAUGAAGGGAACGAUAGCUCAACUUGUUUUUAUGAAGUCAGAUUUCCCUUGUUUUGCACUUCGCAAGGGGAUGACUUGCGCUUGCUGUAGCCUAACUUUUUAUAGUUCGAAAGGAAGAAAUACUCCAUCUGUUUGUUCUUGACUUAAGCAGUUCCUGUAGUUAGGUUUCCUCAAUCAAAGAGGAAGGAAGUAUGAUUCAAGUCACUAGUUUACUGGGUUUUUUUGCCUUGGUAGUCCGGGAGAUACUGAUUAUGUCGGUACGGACAAGUUCGAUUCGAGCAAACUAUGGAGAAGUACAACAUGCGUAAAUUAGACAUUGGAAAUGGAGGUACAAGCGAGCGACUAAGUCGAUUUCCUUUGUUUUUGGCGAUAAUUAAACUAGAGAAGCUGCUGUGAGCGACGGGAAGCCAUUUAUUUUCAUAAAUGUGUAGAAGGAGAAACGUUUCUUUCCCUUCCUAUUGCGUUUAGCAAUGGGGAUAUAAUAUAGUGAAACAUCCCGAGUUAUAUUAUACAUGGAGCAAUGGCCCCCCUUUCGGGCGCAUGCUUCCCCUUCUCAGUCUCUUUCGCACUGUUUGUUCACUCUGAUCUGAGCCCUCAUCCCUGGAUGUCAGUAGCAGUUUCUUCUUCGACGAGCUCGACUCAGAUAUAUCUUCCGCCCGGGUGGCACAAGCAAAGAGAGAUUGCGCUCUCUUUUCCGAGAGAUUCUUUCUUGUCAAGUAGAUGACUGGCUGGGUAGCGAGUACUACUUUAUUCGCGGUACUAACCUCCCCUCAAGUCCCAGGAAGAGAGAAAGGAUACCAUAUUACAAGUAGGUGGUUGCUUAGAGCUUAUGGCAAAGAAUGCCACCCGCCUUACACACACUCGGAUGAAAUCAUCCUACGUAAGAAGACAAAAGGGAUAAGAAGAAAGCUUCGGGUCUAAUGGAGCAGCUUGACCGCUAGCUUCGACCUCCCCAUUUCUACUUACGUUACUAUGGAUCAAGAAUUAUUACAGGAAUCUCGGGCGAACCAGAAGGGACAUCGUUCGAGCUUUAGUUAAGCGACUCAUAAGAGGAUCAAUGGGCCUUCCCUUCUCCCUCCGUAUGGAUACAAAGAUGGACAUAUUAGCAGCUUAACGUAUCUCACGGCUAUCUUGGCUCAUACUACCACCUCCAAUAAUCCCUUUGGUUGAGGCAUCGAAUGGCGAACCCCGACCAAAGAAAGGGAGUGCAUUCCUUUUCAUUCGAUUUAAAGUAGAUACACUACGUCUUUAACUGAUUGUAUUAGAAGCUGCCCUAUCAAGAACCACCCUGUAGAAGCAUCUCAACCACCUAACUCGAAUAAUCAUAUAAAAAGAGAAAACAUAGUCCAU
RNAcentral lists this long non-coding RNA (29382 nucleotides) under Triticum aestivum (bread wheat). The record is from RNAcentral. Lineage: Eukaryota; Viridiplantae; Streptophyta; Magnoliopsida; Poales; Poaceae.